GUGUGCACUCAUCGGGGAAGGGUGAGAACCUUCGACUAAGGUUCGAUUCGAGCGAAAGCGAGAGAACGUUGCCACAGGCAACGGCCCGAAGGGUGAGGAGCGAAGCGACGAAUAAUCCUUCCCCCACCACCA
RNAcentral lists this small RNA (132 nucleotides) under Escherichia coli. RNAcentral's name for it is "RtT sRNA". It matches the Rfam family "RtT RNA". From Rfam's summary of the family: This family represents a bacterial cis-regulatory element known as RtT RNA. The exact function of RtT is unknown although it is thought that it may be involved in changing the cellular response in relation to amino acid starvation. RNAcentral also lists the same sequence under 1 other name. Lineage: Bacteria; Pseudomonadati; Pseudomonadota; Gammaproteobacteria; Enterobacterales; Enterobacteriaceae. The record is from RNAcentral.